UAUGUAGGUGGCAAGCGUUGUCCGGAAUUAUUGGGCGUAAAGCGCGCGCAGGCGGUUUAAUAAGUCUGAUGUAAAAGCCCACGGCUCAACCGUGGAAGGUCAUUGGAAACUGUUAAACUUGAGUGCAGUAGAGGAAAGUGGAAUUCCUAGUGUAGCGGUGAAAUGCGUAGAGAUUAGGAGGAACACCAGUGGCGAAGGCGGCUUUCUGGCCUGCAACUGACACUGAGGCGCGAAAGCGUGGGGAGCAAACAGG
RNAcentral lists this ribosomal RNA (253 nucleotides) under uncultured bacterium. RNAcentral's name for it is "partial 16S ribosomal RNA". It matches the Rfam family "Bacterial small subunit ribosomal RNA", at positions 524 to 776 of the family's 1533-position model. The record is from RNAcentral.